Molecule: ribosomal RNA, 253 nt
Filed under: uncultured bacterium
Lineage: Bacteria
Description: partial 16S ribosomal RNA
Rfam family: Bacterial small subunit ribosomal RNA
Source: RNAcentral
UACGUAGGGUGCGAGCGUUAAUCGGAAUUACUGGGCGUAAAGCGUGCGCAGGCGGUUCGUUGUGUCGGUGGUGAAAUCCCCGGGCUUAACCUGGGAAUGGCCAUGGAAACUGGCGAACUGGAGUGCGGCAGAGGGGGGUGGAAUUCCGCGUGUAGCAGUGAAAUGCGUAGAGAUGCGGAGGAACACCGAUGGCGAAGGCAGCCCCCUGGGCUAGCACUGACGCUCAGGCACGAAAGCGAGGGGAGCAAACGGG